GCAGUGACUUGUGGACGUCUCUUCUGACCUUGCUGAACCUUGCACUUAAUGUCCAGGCUCUGCUAGCUCCUGGGCAUGUCACAGCUGCCCCCACUUAGAGGAAGGUGCAGCCUGAAUCCAGGAGAGCCCCACUGAUUGCCUCCACUGGCUGCUCCCUGAAUAAAAUGAUGCCCCUCCUACACCCAGUGGGGCAAACCCCAACCUUGCAGGGCCAAGGAGAGAGGGAAGAAGAGAGCCUCUGUUCCCUCCAUUCUCCCUGUUUUGGACUUUGGCAGGUUGAGAGCUACAAUUAGAGCCAGUGUUUAUGGUGCUGGCCAUAUGGCUCGCGAUGCAAAACAGCAGCUGCAUGGGAAUCUCGAGAGGAGCCCUCCCCAAGGUCACGGCGCACAAGGGAGCGCGUGCCCACCCAGGUGGGACACAGGAGCCUGCCACCACUUGAUCUAUGACCGCACACGUACUGAUCGAGCACCUCUGAUGCAAACUAAUGCCAGAGCAGCUGCAAAGCACCAAUCGUGUCGCAAAAACAUCCACUUCGCAGAGCAUCAGGGACAUGGGAACGUCAGCGGCUUCUGCCUCCUUCCAGAGACCAGCUGCAAGUUCCUGAAAACAAGGAGGGAGAUGAGCCAAAGUCACCCAGAAGCUUACAGUGCCUUAAAUGCAAGCUCUAGGUCAGCACUGGGAUGAAGAUUUCCCUUUCACUGGGGGGUCAUCUAGAGGGAUUUUGUCUGGGUACCACUCAUGGAGAGCCACGUGAGGUAGGGGCUCUCACAGCAGCAAACAUCUUGCUGUCCCGAAUCAGGGCACUUUCUGCCCAUUCUGUUUCUGCAGUGACCCUCCCCUUUCCAUCCCAAAGAUAUGUGAAAACAUGACCACCACUGUGGCCCCUCGUCUGAUUGAUAGUCUUAGCUGUGUCAUCCACGAACACAAGGUAAAAAAUCCCAUUACUGCAAUCACAAAUGCAUUACACCCAUAUCUAAAGAGCAGAGAUUCAUUCCAGAUUAGGUAGAUUUUUUUUUCUUAAGGAGGGAUAGUGUUUAAAUCACAAUUUUUCUGUAGAAAUAGCCCUGUAAAAAACAACCUGAGCAUCUUCUGCACCCAGAUGCCUUUCAGGAAACCUACACCAAGCUAGCCAAGCUGGGAUUUCCUUCAGGCUCUCUUGUGACAUUACCAGAUACGCUUUUAAAGAUGUCACAUGCAUAAAAGAGCAAGUAUGUGACCUGACUGAAGCAGGCAUUUCCCAGGCUGUUUAUCACCCUCCAAUAAAUGAAUGAGAGCAUUUGAUGCUUACAGGCUCUAACCAGCCCAGAAGGUCACUCUCUGGGACUGCUGCCAACUGCCCUGCUCUUCCCAGAGAGCAGAAAAGUACAUGUCCCAGAGUCUGACACACGGGCCAGUGAGCUGCUCAUCAUCAUGCAGGAAGCCAGCGAGCUCUCCAUAUCACAUCACAGAGCCCAUCUCUGAAAUGCACCCGUUGCUGCACUUCCAGGAUGUCCCCAUUUAACAGUGUGGCAACACCACACAGCAGUGUGGGGACUGAGGAAGGCUACUUGCCUGUCUGAAGCCACUGAAAGAAGUUAGUCCAAUGCUUGUCUUUCUGCAGGACACAGCCCCCCAGCCCUUGCCAGUCUGACCGGGACCUCAGGCUUUAAAUCUCACCCAAAAAACAUUAGGCAAGAUCUUGUCUGCCUGUGUUAAGGAUUGCUCCCUUAAACCAAAUCUGUAUGUGAAGGUGUUGGAGAGGUUUCCCUGCUGAGCACUCCAAUCCCAAAGUUGUUAUCUAUAGUACCAUGUUCAGUCUCCAUAUGGUGCUCACAAAGAGUAAAAGAAAUGGGUAGAGGAUGGUACAUAUACAAUGUCUCAUAAUAUUAUGCAAAAGGUUUUAUCAA
This is a non-coding RNA of Anas platyrhynchos (mallard), 1886 nucleotides long. The record is from RefSeq and is a predicted model, not a curated record. NCBI's taxonomy places the organism in Eukaryota, Metazoa, Chordata, Aves, Anseriformes, Anatidae.